RNAcentral lists this ribosomal RNA (320 nucleotides) under uncultured Bacteroidales bacterium. RNAcentral's name for it is "bacterial SSU rRNA". It matches the Rfam family "Bacterial small subunit ribosomal RNA", at positions 28 to 339 of the family's 1533-position model. The record is from RNAcentral. Lineage: Bacteria; Pseudomonadati; Bacteroidota; Bacteroidia; Bacteroidales.
GAUGAACGCUAGCUACAGGCUUAACACAUGCAAGUCGAGGGGCAGCAUGCAGGUAGCUUGCUAUCUGUGAUGGCGACCGGCGCACGGGUGAGUAACACGUAUGCGACCUGCCCCGGACAGGGGGAUAAACCCGGGAAACUGGGUCUAAUACCCCAUAUGCCCUGAGGACGCAUGUCCUUAGGGUGAAAGAUCCGUCGGUCCGGGAUGGGCAUGCGGCGCAUUAGCUUGUUGGCGGGGUAACGGCCCACCAAGGCGACGAUGCGUAGGGGUUCUGAGAGGAAGGUCCCCCCACACUGGUACUGAGACACGGACCAGACUCC